AUGAAAGUCCUCCUUUGGCUGCUGCACUUAGAUCGUCUGUGGUGCAACAAUAGGCUACAGAGACGCGGAUGGAUCAACAACUACUUCUGCCAGCUCUGCCUACGCAACCUUGAGUCCUCGACGCACCUGUUCUGGGAAUGCACCAUGACCAUUCAGUGCUGGAACGAGAUGGCAACCUGGCUAGGAUGCCACUCUUUCAGUCAUUCCGUCUGGAGCGCGGGAAGGUCCCCGGCCGAAAGGGUUCGCCGGAUCAUCGAUGGAGCCAACCCUGGCACGAGGAAGGGCACCAGAUCGCUGCUCACCCUGAUGAUCUGGCAAAUUUGGUCAGAGCGGAAUGCGUGCACCUUCAGAGGGAAAUCACCAUGUGCCAGCAGCAUCAUAGCGGCAUUGCCGCCGUGA
This 399-nucleotide ribosomal RNA is filed under the name Triticum aestivum (bread wheat). Its description in RNAcentral is "partial small subunit ribosomal RNA". Lineage: Eukaryota; Viridiplantae; Streptophyta; Magnoliopsida; Poales; Poaceae. The record is from RNAcentral.